GGAGAUGGGUGGAUCUGUUCUGGCUGCAACGCCUGUCACCCCAUUGGCUGUCAGGGUGGAUGUGGCUGGUCCAGCUGGCUAGGCAGGUGACCCCUUCCUCCCUCACUGCUCCCUAUGCGUCCCUUCCACAGUUGCACACUGGGUUGAAGAAGACAGCCUUCCCCAAAUAGAGACGGACCAUUCUUUGGUUGAGAGUAUAUGAGUAGCUGAGCCCCACUUCUAGAAUCUCCAAACAAGCUCUCAAAAUCCUCAUAACCUAAGAAGACUCAGUGAGGAAACCUUUUUUUUUUUGGCACUUCAGAUAAAUAAUUAAAAAUUUGAAUU
Molecule: small nuclear RNA, 324 nt
Filed under: Sorex araneus (European shrew)
Lineage: Eukaryota; Metazoa; Chordata; Mammalia; Eulipotyphla; Soricidae
Description: 7SK RNA (ENSSARG00000018190.1)
Rfam family: 7SK RNA
About the family: 7SK was discovered as an abundant small nuclear RNA in the mid-70s but a possible function has only recently been suggested.
Source: RNAcentral